Molecule: ribosomal RNA, 270 nt
Filed under: uncultured archaeon
Lineage: Archaea
Description: partial 16S ribosomal RNA
Rfam family: Archaeal small subunit ribosomal RNA
Source: RNAcentral
CAGCAGCCCGAGUGGUGAUCGAUUUUAUUGAGCCUAAAGCGUCCGUAGCCGGACUAGUAAACCCUUGGGUAAAUUGGGCAGCUUAACUGUCCGAAUUCCGAGGGGACUGCUAGUCUUGGGACCGGGAGAGGUCAGAGGUACUCCAGGGGUAGGGGCUAAAUCCUGUAAUCCUUUGGGGACCACCAGUGGCGAAGGCGUCUGACUAGAACGGAUCCGACGGUAAGGGACGAAACCCUGGGGCGCGAACCGGAUUAGAGACCCGAGUAGUCC